RNAcentral lists this ribosomal RNA (1117 nucleotides) under Poppea concinna. RNAcentral describes it as "SSU rRNA". It matches the Rfam family "Eukaryotic small subunit ribosomal RNA", at positions 691 to 1745 of the family's 1831-position model. The record is from RNAcentral. Lineage: Eukaryota; Metazoa; Arthropoda; Insecta; Hemiptera; Membracidae.
GACGUCCUGCCGGUGGCGGUCCGGGCUUUCGGCUUUGUGUAGGUUCGCCGAAGCAAGCCGAUAGUUCCGGCCGCCGAUUCAAUCCCGCCGCGGUGCUCUUAACUGAGUGUCGAGGUGGGCCGGCACGUUUACUUUGAACAAAUUAGAGUGCUUAAAGCAGGCUGAUUUCCGCCUGAAUACUGUGUGCAUGGAAUAAUGGAAUAGGACUUCGGUUCUAUUUUGUUGGUUUUAAGAAUCCGAAGUAAUGAUUAAUAGGGACAGGCGGGGGCAUUCGUAUUGCGACGUUAGAGGUGAAAUUCUUGGAUCGUCGCAAGACGUACCUAAGCGAAAGCAUUUGCCAAGUAUGUCCUCGUUAAUCAAGAACGAAAGUUAGAGGUUCGAAGGCGAUCAGAUACCGCCCUAGUUCUAACCAUAAACGAUGCCAGCCAGCGAUCCGCCAAAGUUCCUCCGAUGACUUGGCGGGCAGCUUCCGGGAAACCAAAGCUUUUGGGUUCCGGGGGAAGUAUGGUUGCAAAGCUGAAACUUAAAGGAAUUGACGGAAGGGCACCACCAGGAGUGGAGCCUGCGGCUUAAUUUGACUCAACACGGGAAACCUCACCAGGCCCGGACACUGGAAGGAUUGACAGAUUGAUAGCUCUUUCUUGAUUCAGUGGGUGGUGGUGCAUGGCCGUUCUUAGUUGGUGGAGCGAUUUGUCUGGUUAAUUCCGAUAACGAACGAGACUCUAGCCUGUUAACUAGGCGUUUCUGGUAUCCACAAUAGUGCUACCAGCGAAUAAAUUUCUUCUUAGAGGGACAGGCGGCUUCUAGCCGCACGAGACUGAGCAAUAACAGGUCUGUGAUGCCCUUAGAUGUCCUGGGCCGCACGCGCGCUACACUGAAGGAAUCAGCGUGUCUUCCCUGGCCGAAAGGUCCGGGUAACCCGUUGAACCUCCUUCGUGCUAGGGAUUGGGGCUUGCAAUUGUUCCCCAUGAACGAGGAAUUCCCAGUAAGCGCGAGUCAUAAGCUCGCGUUGAUUACGUCCCUGCCCUUUGUACACACCGCCCGUCGCUACUACCGAUUGAAUGAUUUAGUGAGGUCUUCGGACUGGUGCGCGGUGAUCGCCUCGUGUGGUCACCGA